RNAcentral lists this ribosomal RNA (465 nucleotides) under uncultured Klebsiella sp. RNAcentral describes it as "bacterial SSU rRNA". It matches the Rfam family "Bacterial small subunit ribosomal RNA", at positions 338 to 795 of the family's 1533-position model. Lineage: Bacteria; Pseudomonadati; Pseudomonadota; Gammaproteobacteria; Enterobacterales; Enterobacteriaceae. The record is from RNAcentral.
CCUACGGGUGGCAGCAGUGGGGAAUAUUGCACAAUGGGCGCAAGCCUGAUGCAGCCAUGCCGCGUGUGUGAAGAAGGCCUUCGGGUUGUAAAGCACUUUCAGCGGGGAGGAAGGCGUUAAGGUUAAUAACCUUGGCGAUUGACGUUACCCGCAGAAGAAGCACCGGCUAACUCCGUGCCAGCAGCCGCGGUAAUACGGAGGGUGCAAGCGUUAAUCGGAAUUACUGGGCGUAAAGCGCACGCAGGCGGUCUGUCAAGUCGGAUGUGAAAUCCCCGGGCUCAACCUGGGAACUGCAUUCGAAACUGGCAGGCUAGAGGCUUGUAGAGGGGGGUAGAAUUCCAGGUGUGGCGGUGAAAUGCGUAGAGAUCUGGAGGAAUACCGGUGGCGAAGGCGGCCCCCUGGACAAAGACUGACGCUCAGGUGCGAAAGCGUGGGGAGCAAACAGGAUUAGAUACCCGAGUAGUC